This 70-nucleotide transfer RNA is filed under the name Athripsodes aterrimus. Its description in RNAcentral is "tRNA-Val". The record is from RNAcentral. Lineage: Eukaryota; Metazoa; Arthropoda; Insecta; Trichoptera; Leptoceridae.
CAAAUUUUAAUUUAAAUAAAAAUGUUUCUUUUACAUAGAAACUUUAAAAUAGUAGGCGUUUUAAAUUUGA